UAUUAAGCAUAAAUAGUUCACCAGAAUCUAACACAACACAUCAGUAUCCACAAACAACUCCAGGAGGAAACAGUCAUAUCACCAUCUCAGCUCAGCUAGGACAUUAUCUCAAGGGCCUCUCUGGUCUUCCCCAGGAUGUUAAAAACAGUUGCUGCAAUAUGAGAUGGAGUCAAGCCGGCCUCAGCCAGCUGAUCAGCAGGCGAUCCAUGGUCAAUGUACCGGUCAGGCAGAACCAAGGGUCUCCACUUUAUAUUGCCGUCGAGGAGGCCAUCAAUAGCCAUGAAAUGAGCAACAUGAGAUCCGAAGCCUCCAAUGGAUCCCUCCUCGACCGUGAUCAGGACCUCAUGUGACUUGGCGAGGCUGCGGAUCAGAGACCGGUCAAGCGGCUUGCAGAAACGUGCAUCCGCCACCGUAAGGUUCAACCCGUGCUGCGCCAUAAGGGAAGCUGCAACCAAACAGCUUUGAACUGCUGCUCCAUAUCCCAGUAGAGCCACUCUUUCACCUUCUACACAUAUUCUCCCUUUACCAACCUCAAGAGGGACUCCCUUGUUUCCAGGAGGGAGUGUGACACCAAUCCCAUUCCCUCUAGGAUAUCGGAAACAGGAAGGCCGGUCGUCGAUAGCUGCAGCAGUCGCCACCAUGUGAAACAAUUCUGCUUCAUUGGCUGGAGCCAUAACCACCAUGUUCGGCAGGCAUGCCAUAUAGGUAACAUCAAAUGACCCACUGUGCGUAGGUCCAUCUGCUCCAACGAGGCCAGCUCGGUCCAUCGCGAACCUCACCGGCAGCUUCUGCAGAUCCACAUCGUGAAUUACCUGAUCAUAUGCUCGUUGCAAGAAGGAUGAGUAUAUUGCACAGAAGGGCUUCAGACCUUCGGUUGCAAGGCCAGCUGCAAAUGUCACAGCAUGCUGUUCUGCAAUUCCGACAUCGAAGCAUCGUGACGGGAAGCGGCGGAGGAAGUAGUUUAAACCUGUACCACCUCCCAUUGCUGCAUGAAUCGCAAUGAUAUUUUUGUCCACCUCUGCCUCAGCUAUCAAAGCUUCCGCAAAAUAGUCCGUAUAAGCUCGGGUCGGAGCAAUGGCUUUGAAUUGUUUUCCAGUAGCUGGAUCAAAUUUGUUCACACCGUGGUAUUUAUCAGCAGCUCUUUCCGCAUAAGGAUACCCUCGCCCUUUUUCAGUGACAACAUGGAUAAGAACAGGGCCAGUAGACCUCGUGCUCUUCACCUCUUUCAGAAUGGUGACAAGGUCCUCUAUGUUGUGCCCGUCAACUGGGCCAAUGUAGUACAGACCAAGCUCUUCAAACAUGGAAGAACCUUUUCCACUGAUCAUGCCUCUAGCAUAUUCAUCAACUUUCGAUGCAAGUUCGUGCAUUGACCCACCAAUCUGCUUUGUGACUCCCUUUGCAACCUCCCGGAGUUCUCUUAAAGGCCUGUUCGACUGCAAUCUACUGAGAGCACUACUCAAUGCUCCAACCGGUGGAAUAGGUCCGUCAAGACUAGCAGUAGGUAGGGAAACCUGCUUGUUAUCAUUCAAUAUUACGAUCAUGUCUGAGUCGAGAUACCCAGCAUUGUUCAUUGCUUCAUAUGCUUGACCAGCCGUCAUUGCUCCAUCCCCUAUAACCGCUAUCACGUCGUUCUUUCCUCCUUUCAGGUCCCUUCCCACGGCCAUCCCGAGGGCAGCUGAGAUACUAGUCGAACUGUGACCAGCACCAAAGGCAUCGUGAUCGCUCUCUGAGCGUUUGGUGAAUCCAGCUAAGCCAUUGGUUUGUCUCAUGGUCGACAUCCUAUCCCUUCUCCCCGUCAAGAUUUUGUGUGGAUAUGUCUGAUGGCCAACAUCCCAGAUGAUCUUAUCAUCUGGAGUGUUGAAGACGUAGUGCAGCGCUAUCGUCAACUCGACCACUCCGAGGCUGGACCCGAGGUGUCCCCCGGUCUUGGAUACGUUGAAGAUUAAAUCAGAUCGCAGCUCAUCCGCGAGUUGUUUCAGCUCCUUGAAUGAAAGAUUCUUCAUGUGAAUUGGGUAGUUGAUUGUAUCUAGAAGAGGAGUAGGUGGCCUAUUUGUGUGGUACUCCCCACUCUCCCCGCCUUCUGAAUGUGAUGCAGAAACGCAUGAUCUUUUCCCAG
This 2116-nucleotide unclassified non-coding RNA is filed under the name Hevea brasiliensis (rubber tree). The record is from RNAcentral. Lineage: Eukaryota; Viridiplantae; Streptophyta; Magnoliopsida; Malpighiales; Euphorbiaceae.